Coturnix japonica (Japanese quail) is the source of this 10493-nucleotide non-coding RNA. The record is from RefSeq and is a predicted model, not a curated record. Lineage: Eukaryota; Metazoa; Chordata; Aves; Galliformes; Phasianidae.
GCGAGUUCCGGACGGACGGAGCGAGCGUCGGACCGCACCGCGCUGGGGGACCGGGAGCGGACGGACCGCGGCGGGAGCGGGCCCGGCGGGGCGGCCGGCUGCCAUGUACGCGGGGCUGCAGGAGCUGGGGGUGGCCAACGGCGAGGAUCUGAAGGAGACACUGACCAACUGCACGGAGCCGCUGAAGGCCAUCGAGCAGUUCCAGACAGAAAAUGGGGUCCUGUUGCCCUCGCUGCAGUCGGCCCUGCCCUUCCUGGACCUGCACGGCACCCCCCGGCUGGAGUUCCACCAGUCGGUGUUUGACGAGCUGAGGGAGAAGCUGCUGGAGCGGGUCUCAGCCAUCGCCUUGGAAGGGAAGGUGGAGGAAAGGUACAAGAAACUGGAAGAUCUCCUGGAGAAAAGCUUUUCCUUGGUCAAGAUGCCUUCCAUACAGCCUGUGGUAAUGUGUGUCAUGAAGCACUUGCCCAAGGUGCCUGAGAAGAAGCUGAAGUUAGUAAUGGCUGAUAAGGAUUUGUAUAAAGCAUGUGCAGUGGAGGUGAAGCGCCAGAUUUGGCAGGAUAACCAGGCUCUGUUUGGUGAUGAGGUAUCUCCACUGCUCAAGCAAUAUAUCCUGGAGAAAGAAAAUAUUCUCUUCAGCAGUGAUAUUUCAGUCCUGCACAACUUCUUCAGUCCAUCUCCCAAAGCAAGACGUCAGGGAGAGGUGGUUCAGAAGUUGACUCAGAUGAUUGGGAAGAAUGUGAAGCUCUAUGACAUGGUGCUGCAGUUCCUAAGAACUUUGUUCCUCCGGACAAGGAACGUGCAUUACUGCACUCUGAGGGCAGAGCUCCUGAUGUCGCUGCAUGACCUGGAAAUCAGUGAAAUCUGCACUGUUGACCCCUGUCAUAAGUUCACAUGGUGCCUUGAUGCCUGCAUUCGGGAGAAGUUUGUGGACAACAAGAGAGCUCGGGAACUGCAAGGCUUUCUGGAUGGAGUGAAGAAAGGACAAGAGCAAGUUUUGGGGGACUUAUCGAUGAUCUUGUGUGAUCCCUUUGCCAUUAACACCUUAGCCCUGAGUACCAUAAGGCACCUGCAGGACCUAGUUGGGCAGGACACCUUACCCAGGGAAAGCCCAGAUCUGCUGCUGCUCCUUAGGAUGCUGUCUUUAGGACAGGGAGCCUGGGACAUGAUUGACAGUCAAGUCUUCAAGGAACCAAAAAUGGAAGCUGAGCUGAUUACAAAGUUCUUGCCUAUGCUGAUGUCCUUUGUGGUGGAUGAUCACACAUUCAAUGUAGAUCAGAAACUACCCUCGGAGGAAAAGGGGCCAAUUCCUUACCCCAGCACCAUCCCUGAGGCUUUCACCAAAUUCUUGCAGGAGAACAGAAUAGCUUGUGAGAUUGGGCUAUACUAUAUCCUUCACAUAACUAAACAGAGGAACAAGAAUGCUUUCCUCAGGCUCCUGCCAGCGCUAGUCGAGACAUUCAGCGACUUGGCCUUCAGUGAUAUAUUUCUGCAUCUGCUCACUGGUAACCUCACACUGCUGGGUGAUGAAUUUGCAGUUGAAGAGUUCUGCACCAGUCUCUUUGAUGGCUUCUUUCUCACUGCAUGCUCAAGAAAGGAGAAUGUACACAGACAUGUACUAAGACUGCUGCUUCAUCUGCAUCAUAAAGUGGCGCCUGCCAAAUUAGAGUCUCUCCAGAAGGCUUUGGAACCCACCAAACAGAGCGGUGAGGCUGUGAAGGAGCUUCAUAACCAGCUCACAGAGAAACUGGAGCUUCGCAAGCCUAGUCCUGCCGAAGUGACCGAGACUCCCUCCAUGGAACUGCCCUUGCCCACUGUGCCCACACCAGCCUCACGCUGAGCUGUGUUUGUAUUGCAAGAGUGAGACAGCAAAACAAGCUUAGUGCUCAGCAGCCUGAAGGUGCUGUACUGCCUUGUCAAGUGUCUCUGCCCACAGGGUGGAAACAAACAAAAAAUAGCCACUGAAAAAGCUCUUUCAGGAAACACUGCAGUUUACCCAACUGUCUCUUGCUGGUUAGAAAACUCUCUGUAUGCAGUGCAUUGCAGAGGUUUACUUUUCUUACAGAUAGCUGAGUGAGUGUCUUCUUGUAGAUCUGCUUACAACUGACUGUACAAUUUUUUUUGUUGUUUUGAAAAAGAAAAGGCAUAUUUUUAAGCUUUGCAUCUUGUAUUCUUUACCUCUAUUUCAAGAACUUACAAAUGACUGCCUAGUAUGUGGCUGAGCAGGUACUGUGAGCUCCUGAAGGCUAACCCAGCUUUUCCUGGCUGUUAGUGUGCUCCUCUGGGUCUUUAGAGGAUAUACUCAGCAAACAGAAAUGUCAGAGGAGAGGGGUUCCACUGGUGUGCUUUCCUGUUCCUGAUUCUAGCUGUUUACUUCAUGUUAGAACAUGCUGCGUUAGUGAGGGGUGUCCACCACUGUCACUAGACCAAGAAGCAAUGUUCUUAUGAAGAACACCAGAAACUGAAUCAGACUGAAAGAAUAGCCUGUUCUGCGUGGCUUAUCUGUGUUUGCUGUCCGUACUGUUACAGCUAAUUCCUGUUGUGCUUUCACUGUUGCCUCAGUGUAAAUAUCAGGCAGAGUGUGCUGGAGGAUGGAUUUGGGAGAAGAAUGAGUUGUGUGAGCUUACCAAGUGACUUCACGUUGGUUUCAGCGCAUACAAUAUAUGUGAAAAAAAUCUCACCAGCCCUCUGUAAACAGGAAGGUACCUGCUUGAGGGAUUCUGAAUCACAGACUAACACAGGUAUGAAGGCACUUCUGAGGGGCUCUGCUUACCCUCUAACUCAGACUAGCGUGUCCCUAGAAAAGGUUGCUUCUGGGUAGGACUCUGUGUGUACCUUUAAGGAUCCUAAGGGUUCUGUUAGGCUGUUUCUCCAGCCCACUGAGGUCCUUCUGAACAGCAGCCCUGUCCAGUGUGUCAGCCAUUCCCACAGUUUGGUAUCAUUUGUAAAUUUGCUGAGGGUGUGUUCUGUCUUUAUUUAAUGCCUCUAUUUGCAACCCAAUAUUAGCCUUGUUACAGUCCCCUGAGGAAUGCUAGGAGUAGAUGGCUGCCAACUGGACUUUGUGCUGUUGAUCGCAACUCUCUGGGACUGGAGUCUUGCCAGUUUUCCAUGCAGCUAUCUGAUCCACAGCAAAAUGAUUGGGCUAUAUGUGUUCUUCAGGCAGUUGUGUCCAAAACCAUCUGAAGUCAAGCUAAACUGAACUCUCCCCUUGUCUGCCAAGCCAGUCUUCUUAGAAAGUUAUCAGAGUUGUCAGGCAUCAUUAGCCCUUGGAAUUUGCCCACCCACUGUCACUUUCUUGUCCUUUUAUUUUCCCAGCACUCAUUGUUUCUUCUUGGGGCUCGAGCACUCCUGGUGCCAAACUGUAUUGAUGAGACUUUUCCAUUUCCUGAAGCUGCAUUAAUUAAAAGAAAGAUGUAGUUGAGCAAAGAUGGAAAUCCCUCCCAGAAGCUGCUGAACUCCCUCUUUGUGUGAUUUUCUUCCUCCUGAGAUCUCAAGUGCUGCAUGAGGAAAGCAAAUGCUCUUCAUCACCUCAGUGCCUUGUUCUUCAUUUAUGCAGGGGCUGGUGUGUGUCUUUUGGGAGAGCUGGGAAGGCAAGGAUAGGUUUGUGAGCGAGGAAGGGCUGCUGCCCUCUGGUCUGUGCUGCCUUUGCGUUCCUUGUCUCCAGGUCAGCAUUGCCUUUGGCGGAGCUUCGGCAGUUCUUGUUGGCCGACUCAUGCUGAACUUGCUGGAAACAGGAACUGCUUGUAACAAUCAGUCUUGCAAAGCUUGGUUUUCAAACCGUUUAAACUGACAUGUAAAUUACGCAGAGCAACAUCCCACACUGCUUGGAAACCUUCUGCAAUUAACCCACUCCAACCUGUGUUCUGCUCAGCCCCGAGGUUACGUAGGUUUGUGUGCAGGUUCUCUCUGCCACUGAAGGCUUCCCGUAUCCCACAGCCUGAUUUGCUACUCCCUUGCAGCAUGAACUUAUUUUAAUUCAGGCUGACUGAGCAAUCUGCAGUUCGGUAGGAAGCCCUACUGUGUUUUACCCUAUAUCAACAAAGAUGGCACAAAGAAAUGAGUCCUAGAGCACGUACUAUUACCUGUGCUGGGUGUUGCUUCAGCUGAGGGGAGAUCUGUGGGUAGGUGAAUGGGAAUGGCUGCCUUGUUUUCUUGUGAAAAGAUGUGAUGAAUUAGCAGAAACAUCUCUCAGAAAAUACUUAUUUUCUUUUAGAGGUGACCGUCUCAGUCUGUUGAUGUUCUUAGAGAUGAGAAUGGUUUGACUCCAGCAAUUGUACAGGCUGCUGCUGUUGUGUCAGGUCGUGCUGUCCUGUGGUGUAACUGCCAGGUGAAGAACAACUGAACUGUGUAAAACAAUUACCUUUUUUCUCUUCUUUGCCUUUUCUUAAUGCCCCCACAUGGAGUCCUUUGCAACUGGCAGGGAGGUGCAGUGUGUAUCUCAAGCUGCGUGCAGUGCAGUCGGUGCACACUAGAGGGUAGUGCACCACUGACUGCCCUGCAACGAGCGCUGCAGCCUGAAAUCCUCCCAGCUGGCACAGAGCAGGGAGCUGGAGCUGCCUGCCCUCUGUUUACAAUAAUGUUACAGCUUGUCUUUACAACGGGGAUGUGAUACCUGUGGUAUGGAAAAACAGCGUAUUCUCUCCAAACCUGCUGCGUCUGACUUAGGGAUGAAUUUUUACAAUGAAUUCUAAUUAGCUUGAGCAAUCCGAUCCUCUCUGUGUGUUUUUCCAGAGACAUCGUAGUAACUAACAGCCCUGAGAGGCUCUGCAGGCUUUUUGGAUGGUUAACAUUUAACUGAAAUUUUAUGCUGAACUUUGAAGCGACUCAUUUGGAUGGAGGUACAUUAGCAGACUGAUAGAGCGCUGUAACUGCACUGCUGGGUUUGAUAGGAGUAGCUCCAAAAUUUGGUUACUGAGGCCAACGUUAGAUAAAAUCGGGUCUCCCCUUGGCUGGGGUAGCACCUCUGCCUGAUAACUGCUCCUUUUGGGGAUAGCCAUGCCCUGUGCUUGGCAGAAACCCUUCCCCGACCAGCACUAGCUUGAAGAUUUGGCAGUCAGGAAGAAAUGUGGCUCUUGCUGCUGCUGUUUCAGUGCAUGGGCAACAUGUACCAAAGUCUGUCUGGGCUGGAAUGUGCUCUGAAAGAACAGGAGCAUUUUACUAGGUGUUGUAGUAGAUAUCCCACAAUGUCCUUGCUAGGAAAGCACCUCAUUUCCGUGCUGUAGCUGUGCUGGAACUCUCCCAGAGGCAGAGAGAGGUCUGUGUGACGGGGUGAUAAGGAUGUUUUCUUGCAAUAUUGAUCUCUCCAGGUGGGUGUAAGGCAGGAAUGGAGGGCGGCUCCACCCCACUGCAGGUCACUGUGCUGAGGACUCCCCAGGCAGGGUUUCAGCUCCAUGUUUGCUGCCAUCUGAGCCCUUUCUGGGCAUCCUCUGUGUUAAGCAGCACCCUGGAAGUGAGAACUGGUGUCUUCCCCUUGUUCUCCAGGUUCCAUGGGUGUCAGUUCUGUGGUAAGGCAACAAGGAAGAUGAUUCCUGUAUCUGAACUUGAGCUGUUUGUGGUUCCUGUGUUGUCAUAGAAAAGAAGUCCAGAGCUCAAGAGACAGUUGUUUUGGAGCUUUGUGUUUUGUUUUUCUUCCCUUUAGCAUCAUUUGCUGUACCAAAGCUGUGUUGGCUGAUCGGGGUUGACAGAACUUGUAAGUGGUGAAACGUUAAUAAAUCCUGGUGAUGAGUCAUUAGCAUACAAAGCAACCUGAUGACUCACAACACAAGGUUUUGAUUACUGCUUUUUCAAGCACAUGGAUAGGUAGGAGCAAUUAAAAAUCUCAAGAAGAAAUCUGUCUUGGAGCACCUGUUUGUGUCUUGUUAAGGCUGUGGGAGAUGCUGACAAAUGGGGUGGUGCUCAUUUUGCCUCUGAGACCCUUUUGACUGAGUUGUGUUCUCCUGACCCUGGUUCUAGUUGUGUUUUUCCCCCCCCUCCCCUCUGUUCCAGCUCUGUUGGGUGUCCUCUGAGCUUAGGAAGGAAGCACUGUAUGCGUGUGAGGGGAAGAAGAUGGUGAAGUUUGUUCCCCCAAGAUGCAGUUGAAGCCUCAGUCAAGGUUUCGGGGUCACUGGGCCAGAGCCAUUAGGGACUUGUGAAAUGAUGUCACUGGAGCAACAACAAAACAUCCCAUCCGGUAGGUCACGGCCUGAUUUGUUACCAGCACCGUGUUCUCUGCUUAAUCUCUAGUGAGUAAUUAGUAAGGACUUCUUACAGGCAGCUUCCUUGAGGAGAGGCCAAGGGGCAGAGAAGGGAUCUGUCUUCCUCCUCACCUGCCCUGGCACUGCUGUGCUUGUGGGCUUUGGCUGCAGAGUGUGUGGAGGUGCAGGAAGCACUUUGUGUCCUCCCAGGGAGACUCAGAUGUUCCUUCCAAAAAGCCAAUUGCUGUGAUCAGUCAAAUGUGUAGUUUAACCCUGAUUUAUGGUCCUCAAACAAUUAUUGCUGCCUUCCUCUGAUGCCCUUUAGAGGUUCUGUGAGCUCUGCCAACUUGAGGAAGGAUGAGUUUGCCAGGUUGUUUGUCAGCUACGCCACCUUCCAAGUGGAAGAAUGGGAUGACGGUGCUUCCGAGAAGUCUGGAUGAAGGUGAUCCUUGGUGCUGCAACGUGCCCUUGGUUGGGGCUGCGAUGAAUCUGAGUGGUAACUGACACCUACCAGAUCUCUUAUAUGAAACAUUUAUUUAGUCCUAGAAUCAUGGAGGUUGGAAAAGACCUCUGAAGGUCCUGUUGGAUCGAGUGUCUUGGAUGAAGGAGGCCAGCCUUGUUUGCAUCCUGCUUUUGCAAAGGAAUAGCUGACCUCAGCUCAGCCUUGGGGAACUCCUACUGUGCCAGCUCUUUCAUGCAGCCUUCAUCCAGGUUUGACCUACUUGUCGUUUUUGUACAAACAGUUGUUGGAAAGCAGUAGGGGAUGGAGAGAAGAUGCAUCUGAGGAGUGCUGGCUCUUGGUUAGAAUGUUAGUGGGCACCUGGAGCAGAUGGCAGUGGCAUUCUGCAGGUUGGGAUGUUUCAGCACACGGGUGUCUAUGUUACCUGGUAGUCAUGCAUACUCACUUCAUUGCACGUCUGUCCGGUGCUGCUGGCUCUCACUGUGUGUAGUUGCCCAGCUGAUAUGUACUGCAUCCCUUUGGAGUCUGCUCCGGGUUGUUGGCAGGAUGUGAAGUGGGAUCUUUCUGCUUUCCCAGGGCUGCAGCAGGUUCCCAAUUAAAGCCAACCCAGACUGACACCAACAUACAUCAGUCAGGCACGGUGCUUCCCUCUCCAUGUAUUUAGCAGCAAGAAUUCACACCCCGUCCCACGCGUGAUCCUUAGCAAACACUGACAUCCUGCUCCCCACAGCAGGGUGAAGCAGAUCAAAGGAGAAUGUUUCAUUUCUGUACACUUUUCUUUGGAACGGGAGCAGCUGCAGCUUUCAGUGCAGUUGAUCAGAUUGCUCAGAACAAGUGUUUUUCACUGAUUAUUAUCAUUUUUUAUCAUUAGUGAGGGAGCUCCCAGCUUGUGAGUAGUCGCUGUUUGGAAACCAGUCGCCACAAUACGAGCUGUCAGCCCUGGCAAUAGCUGACAUCUCAUUAAGUGUGGAUUGGUGGCGUUUUUAAGGCUAGAAUUGUGCGAUGGGGCUCAGGUGAGUGCUUAAAGGCUUAAGAGGCAUUGCAGAUGUAGGCAGUGGAUGCUGUGGAUGGCAAAGGACAGAGGUGGGGUGGUCGAUUCAGUGGCUUUAGGAGGAGCAGCCAUCAAUCCAGCUGUAAUGUACAGCACCAAGAAGAUUAUUUUGUAAUGAUUUUGUAUUCGUAAGUUGGACCCCUCGCAUAAAACCAGGGUUAAGCUGUUAUGUGCUGCUCUGCCUGCCUUGCCCGGGUAAUUUCUCUCUUUGGUUCUGUGCAAAGUGCUGCUGGUAGGAACAAAGGAGUCACGCUGCCCUUACUCAUUAAGAACUGCGUUAUGGAACACAGCGGUGUUGUCUUUAGACUAAAAGCCCUCCUGUAUGGCUGGUCCCACCAUCAGACCAUCUCCUGCUGCCUGGCAACUGCCUCUAUUGCCAUAGCAAUGCAGCUCCGCUUUCAUGCAGAGCCCCACCAUCCCCAUCUUUCAUUCACUCUCUCACUCCAUCUGUGAGUUCUGCUCCGAAUCCGGAGUUACUCAGCACUUCUGAACUCAUUAAUGAAACAUUACUUAGCAGAGGGGAAGCCACGCGAUGCUUUGGGCUGCGUGUUUGCCUGGGCUGUGGCUGCUGCCAUUGGGCUCGGUUACUACACAGACACACAGUGUGAUCAGCAUCCCUCCCUGCACACUGCAUCCCUCUUUGAGGAACUGGAGCUGCCUGCAUCCCUGGGUUCUGUGCAUGUGGCUGCAGCUGUGUAGCAAAGGGCCAGAGUUUCUUCCUUUCAGUAUCUAAGGGACUGUAAGAAAGAAGGGGAUAGAAUUCAGCAGAGUCUGUUUGGUAGCACAAGUGGAAAUGGUUUCCAACUACAAGAGGGGAGAUUUAGUCUGGGUGUAAGAGGAAGCUUUUUACCCUCAGGUCAAUGAGGCACCGCACAGGGUGCACAGACCUGGUGGUGCCCCAUCCCUGCAGGCAUUUGAGGUCAGGGGAUGGAGCUCUGAGCACUGAUGGAGCUGUGGGUGUCCAUGAGCAAUGCAGGGAGUGGGACCUGAUGGCAUUUAAGGUCCCUUCCAACUCAAACCAUUCUAUGAUUCUCUGAAACAGCCUCAGGAGUGCAGGUUAUGCAGUCAGUGAAUUCACACCCUGUUGAUGGGCUCCCUGAGAGCUUAACCAGAACAGCAGUGAUGAUUUAAGUAAAGGAUACAGCAAGGAGAAUAAUGCAAGAGCGCAAAAGCAGCGAGCAGGAGAAAACAUUUCUCAGCCGCACAGUGCUCAGCAGUGCUGCAGAUCGCUCUGGCUGCAGACCUGAGGUGCCGGGAGGAAGCUCGGAGGUUCCCUCGUCACCAGCUGCUUUGCUGCGUUCUUCGCAGGCUCUGGCUCUCAGCGCCAAUCACCGGGAGCUGCCGCUGCGCUGCUCCCAGAUACAAGUGGAAGGAGCUGCGGGGGGAUGCGGACAAAGCACGACAGAGACAAAAGGGAUGGAGAUGUGAGCCGCUCCGAUAGCGGAGCCGCUUGGCGCAGGGCAGCAGCCGCUCGUCCCCAAGGGAGGCUCUUCCAGCACAAAGCCGGGCUGUGAGCUGCUCCCCAGCAGCCUGCCUUCCUUCUCCACGUCCUCCUCCUGUCCCUGGGAGCCCCCCGGCCGAGCUGCCCCCGGAGCAAAUGCCACCUGUACCCAAUGAGGCAGAUCCCGAAGUGCCACGAAUGGAUCCCAGGAUUCUCAUUUUCCUUCUCUACGUGAUGAUCCUCCACGAGCUGGUGAGCGGCUGGAUGGAGUACCAGAAGCAAAUCGCCAAGCCCAAGAAGCAGGCGGGGCCGGUCUGGUCCUCCAGCAGCACCAGGCCCAGUCACUCCAGCUUUGCCAGGCCGCUGGUCCAUUCAGUGCGCAGGGAGCGGCACCGAGACUGGAGGAAGCCAGGACGGAUCAUCCGGAAGGCGUGAGGAUGGACGGCCAUAAGGAGCCCAUGGGCAUCAGCCACACCAGACAAGGCUUUGGCCACCCAACAUGGCAAGUUGACUCUUCUGUCUUCCCCCUUGAGUAGACAGAGACCAGAUUUCUUUGGGGAAGGAUGGAAUUUGCUCUUCGGUCAACCAUAAGGAGCCUUCAAAUGAGCCUCCAUUGCCCAAUGGGAGGGAAGGCGUUGGGGUCUGGUCCUCUGCAGGGCAUCCAGCACUGAGAGCCCUCAUGGCUCUGCUGGUCCCACCAACAUCACUGUGCAGAGUUCCUGCUUUCUGUCUCUGUUGCUCUGUGGUGGAAGAGGGGAAGUGCUGGGCACUGCUGCCAUUAGUGCAAUGGCCCCGUAAUUAGAUUUCUUUGCAGCCUUCCCAGCAGAUGAGCCAGACUUAAGAGCGACUUUCUAACGAGCAGAUAGAAGGGUAAGGAAUACACGUUGCUCUUAUUAGGGUCUGUGAUUUAGAUGCAGAAUUAGAUUUUAGGGACAGGAGUCAGCUCUCGUGUCCUGCACCGCAGCUGUGUGCAGGAUGAGCAUCUCUGAGCACUGCAGGAUUCCAGCCCUGUGCUCCUGCAGCUCUCAGGGCAGAGCUGGCUGCCUUGUUUGCUGAAUGCCACAUCUGCUUCCAACAGCCUGUUUUCCUCCCUGCCAACCAUUUACAAGCCUGACUCAGGCUGGGUGAUGCGUAAUGCAGAAGCAGAUAGGGAAGGGCCUUGGGGUGGGUCGGACAUUCCUCAGCAUGAACGGCUGCUGGUGCUGCCCUGGGGCAGACAGCUCAGAGAUGGAACCUCAGCCCUGAGAGCAGGACUUGGCUGGGACAGGUGGAUGUCCAAACUGCUGCACUUUGGGAGCAGGCUCUGCUGAUCACAUGCUGGAUUUAUCCCUGUACAUCUCCUGUUUCCUCCCAAUAAAUCCUUUUCAAUCA